This 91-nucleotide transfer RNA is filed under the name Pseudobacillus wudalianchiensis. Its description in RNAcentral is "Bacillus wudalianchiensis tRNA-Asn". It matches the Rfam family "tRNA". Rfam says of the family: Transfer RNA (tRNA) molecules are approximately 80 nucleotides in length. Their secondary structure includes four short double-helical elements and three loops (D, anti-codon, and T loops). The record is from RNAcentral. Lineage: Bacteria; Bacillati; Bacillota; Bacilli; Caryophanales; Bacillaceae.
CGGGAAGUACUCAAGAGGCUGAAGAGGCGCCCCUGUUAAGGGGGUAGGUCGCGUAAGCGACGCCAGGGUUCAAAUCCCUCUUUCUCCGCCA